UAGCCGUAAACGAUACUCGCUAGGUGUCGGCCACGGUGCGACCGUUGUCGGUGCCGUAGGGAAGCCGUGAAGCGAGCCACCUGGGAAGUACGGCCGCAAGGCUGAAACUUAAAGGAAUUGGCGGGGAGCACAACAACGGGUGGAGCUUGCGGUUUAAUUGGAUUCAACGCCGGAAAUCUUACCGGGACCGACAGCAACAUGAAGGCCAGGCUGAAGACUUUGCCGGAUUAGCUGAGAGGAGGUGCAUGGCGUAGUCGUGU
This 260-nucleotide ribosomal RNA is filed under the name uncultured archaeon. RNAcentral's name for it is "partial 16S ribosomal RNA". It matches the Rfam family "Archaeal small subunit ribosomal RNA", at positions 748 to 1009 of the family's 1478-position model. The record is from RNAcentral.